Non-coding RNA from Petromyzon marinus (sea lamprey), 424 nucleotides. NCBI's taxonomy places the organism in Eukaryota, Metazoa, Chordata, Hyperoartia, Petromyzontiformes, Petromyzontidae. The record is from RefSeq and is a predicted model, not a curated record.
ACACACACAGACAUACACACACACAGACACACACACACGCAAACACACACAGGCACACACCCACACAGACACACACAGGCACACACACACCCACACGCAGUGUUGACGUCAGUAGGUGGGUCCCAACCCAUCAGGAGUAGACGUUGAGGUGUCGCCCCAACGUCUCUGACACUCGGCCACAAACUACACAAACUACCACCGCUCGCACGGGCAGCAGGAGGCAGCACGCAGAGCAGAGCCCGCGACCGACCAACAGCAGACUGACGGGGCAGCGGCGAGGCAGAGGUGGGCAAGUUCUCGACCGGUUUCGUCCGCGCUGGGGCUCAUCAGUGGACGUGGAGUCUUCCCUUCUUGCAAUGCCCCCUCCGGUGGCAAUCUGAGGCUAAAGAGCCUUCGCCUGGAGGGACCGGCCCAAGUGAAUGAU